UACGGAGGGUGCGAGUGUUGUUCGGAAUUACUGGGCGUAAAGGGCGCGCAGGCGGCUUGGCAAGUCGAGUGUGAAAUCCCUUGGCUUAACUAAGGAAUGGCGCUCGAAACUACCUCGCUAGAGGGCGGGAGAGGGAAGUGGAACUCUCGGUGUAGGGGUGAAAUGCGCAGAUAUCGGGAGGAACACCGAUGGCGAAGGCAGCUCGCUGGGACGUUACUGACGCUGAGACGCGAAGGCGUGGGGAGCAAACAGG
Molecule: ribosomal RNA, 253 nt
Filed under: uncultured bacterium
Lineage: Bacteria
Description: partial 16S ribosomal RNA
Rfam family: Bacterial small subunit ribosomal RNA
Source: RNAcentral